This 257-nucleotide ribosomal RNA is filed under the name uncultured bacterium. RNAcentral describes it as "partial 16S ribosomal RNA". It matches the Rfam family "Bacterial small subunit ribosomal RNA", at positions 524 to 776 of the family's 1533-position model. The record is from RNAcentral.
UACGUAGGGUCCGAGCGUUGUCCGGAAUUAUUGGGCGUAAAGGGCUCGUAGGCGGUUUGUCGCGUCGGGAGUGAAAACUCAGGGCUCAACCCUGAGCGUGCUUCCGAUACGGGCAGACUAGAGGUAUGCAGGGGAGAACGGAAUUCCUGGUGUAGCGGUGGAAUGCGCAGAUAUCAGGAGGAACACCCGGUGGCGAAGGCGGUUCUCUGGGCAUUACCUGACGCUGAGGAGCGAAAAGUGUGGGGGAGCGAAACAGG